GCCGGGUUAGCUCACUGGCAGAGCGCUGCCCUGAAGAGGCAGGCGUACCCAGUUCGAUUCUGGGACCCGGCACAA
This 75-nucleotide transfer RNA is filed under the name Candidatus Jorgensenbacteria bacterium RIFCSPLOWO2_12_FULL_42_11. Its description in RNAcentral is "tRNA-Phe". It matches the Rfam family "tRNA". From Rfam's summary of the family: Transfer RNA (tRNA) molecules are approximately 80 nucleotides in length. Their secondary structure includes four short double-helical elements and three loops (D, anti-codon, and T loops). Further hydrogen bonds mediate the characteristic L-shaped molecular structure. tRNAs have two regions of fundamental functional importance: the anti-codon, which is responsible for specific mRNA codon recognition, and the 3' end, to which the tRNAs corresponding amino acid is attached (by aminoacyl-tRNA synthetases). tRNAs cope with the degeneracy of the genetic code in two manners: having more than one tRNA (with a specific anti-codon) for a particular amino acid; and 'wobble' base-pairing, i.e. permitting non-standard base-pairing at the 3rd anti-codon position. The record is from RNAcentral. Lineage: Bacteria; Candidatus Joergenseniibacteriota.